RNAcentral lists this long non-coding RNA (1025 nucleotides) under Monodelphis domestica (gray short-tailed opossum). Its description in RNAcentral is "lncRNA (ENSMODG00000049409.1)". The record is from RNAcentral. Lineage: Eukaryota; Metazoa; Chordata; Mammalia; Didelphimorphia; Didelphidae.
AUCGGACCCUGGCACCGACCCCACCGAGCCACCGCACCCCCCCCACACGAAUCCAGGCGACGACAGCACAAACCGCAGUCACUCCACGCACGCACACAGAGGGGGAAAAGAGCACUCCGCUCUAUCCUCCCCCCUCCCCCGAUGACCGGACUACUUACUGCCCUCGACCCCACGGCCGAGCUCGUCGCGGCCCGCAGGCCGUACGAGGCUUCCCCCCCCACGCCGAGAGCGGAGGGCAACCCCCGAAUCUUUAAACCUCCGCGCCAGAACGCGCUAGGUACCCGGGACAGGAUGGGGGCGGAAAGGCCUCCCACGCCCCAACGGCGGGCUAGGACCGCACAGCGGAGAGGAGCGUGGGAGUUUUCGCCCCAGCCCCUCGGGGCGGUCGGGACGAGCGACCAAGGCACACCCGGCCGGUCACGCCAACCCCAAUUCCCCAUCUCGGAGGGAAGACGCUCACUCGAGCGAGCGGGACCGACCCCGGCGCCUGACCGCCGGGGCCCUCGCUGGCCCACACGUCGAGGGGACCCCUCUCGAGCCGCCGGGGCAGGGGCCUCGGCACCGCCGACCCCGCCCCACCGGUGGGGACGAGGCGGUUCGGCCGCGUCGGCGAGCACGGACCCGGAGAACCUAAAAGACACCCGACCGCGGGCUGAGGCGGAGCGGAGGAAGGGGGCAAAGGGGAGCCGGGACCCUGACGACCGAAGGCGGGGAACCGGGCACCCGGGGCCCCAACCGCCCACACGGAGAGGGUGGGGCCCGGCGACGACGCCGGGUCUCUUCCCCUUUUCGCCACCUCCCCCCGAAGCCCGCACAUGCAGCGGCGGGGGCACGACCGCGCCGGGGCGGCGGGAUCGUGGUCAAGCACUUCGAGCAGCAUUCCUCUCUCGCUCGAAAACCCCCCGCCCGCGGGGGACUCGGCAUGCGCACGGGCCGCCGACGGCGUCCGGGACGCCGCCGGGGUACCGGCGGGGCCGAGCGGCGACGGAGGGAACCCACCGAACGCCGCCCGGAUGGCCGCAGCC